This 538-nucleotide long non-coding RNA is filed under the name Felis catus (domestic cat). RNAcentral's name for it is "lncRNA (ENSFCAG00000044716.2)". Lineage: Eukaryota; Metazoa; Chordata; Mammalia; Carnivora; Felidae. The record is from RNAcentral.
AUUGUGAAGAAAACUUUGAUAUUUUUUUUCACUCAAAAAGACCCAUUUUCUCUUUCCUCUAGCUGCCCCAGCCUUCUAUUAGAAUGAGUAUCAUCAUCUAGUUUCCCCAAAGGACUGGCUUACCUGAGGACUACAAGCUCUCACAGUACUUUCCACUGCCUGGUACUUUUAUAAGGUCCCUUAGACUCACUGAGGCUUCAGAGAAACUCAUACAACUUUGGCAUCUUACCUGUGGCUUUUGAAACAUUGAAAGAAUGCGCUCCUGGCCCCUAAAUGUUGCCCAUGUCUCAAUGGGGUUUUGGAGCAAGGAAAGAAACAAAAGGCUCUUGGGCAACCAACAUCAGCCUGGAAGGCCAGAACUUCAUGUAUUAUACAAGAACACUAUGGAGACUUGCCUCCAGUACUUUUCCUCAGGCAUUCUUCAAUCUUCUUUGACCAAGAAGAUAGAGUUUGGAUGGAUGUAAACAGAGGUAUGUAGAAAGAUAAAGGCACCUGUUUAGUGAGCCAGAAAAUAAAGAACCUUCUGGCUAUAUAUGCA